RNAcentral lists this unclassified non-coding RNA (206 nucleotides) under Glomus sp. RNAcentral describes it as "partial contains 5.8S ribosomal RNA and internal transcribed spacer 2". The stretch from base 1 to 65 matches the Rfam family "5.8S ribosomal RNA", at positions 84 to 154 of the family's 154-position model. The record is from RNAcentral. Lineage: Eukaryota; Fungi; Glomeromycota; Glomeromycetes; Glomerales; Glomeraceae.
GUGAAUCAUCAAAUCUUUGAACGCAAAUUGCACUCUCUUCGGAGAGUAUGCCUGUUUGAGGGUCAGCCUAAAAAAAAAUCGACAUAGUCGCUGUGUCGCGGUGACAUUCGUCGGAAAUUGGUUAUCUUUAACCUUUUGGUUUUAAGCGGCUUAAAAUUUUCUUUACGAUUCCACGAACUUUUUUUAGGUUUUCCUCUUAUACGUUU